GAUGAACGCUGGCGGCGUGCCUAAUACAUGCAAGUCGAGCGAACAGACGAGGAGCUUGCUCCUCUGACGUUAGCGGCGGACGGGUGAGUAACACGUGGAUAACCUACCUAUAAGACUGGGAUAACUUCGGGAAACCGGAGCUAAUACCGGAUAAUAUAUUGAACCGCAUGGUUCAAUAGUGAAAGACGGUUUUGCUGUCACUUAUAGAUGGAUCCGCGCCGCAUUAGCUAGUUGGUAAGGUAACAGCUUACCAAGGCAACGAUGCGUAGCCGACCUGAGAGGGUGAUCGGCCACACUGGAACUGAGACACGGUCCAGACUCCUACGGGAGGCAGCAGUAGGGAAUCUUCCGCAAUGGGCGAAAGCCUGACGGAGCAACGCCGCGUGAGUGAUGAAGGUCUUCGGGUCGUAAAACUCUGUUAUUAGGGAAGAACAAAUGUGUAAGUAACUAUGCACGUCUUGACGGUACCUAAUCAGAAAGCCACGGCUAACUACGUG
RNAcentral lists this ribosomal RNA (497 nucleotides) under uncultured bacterium. RNAcentral's name for it is "partial 16S ribosomal RNA". It matches the Rfam family "Bacterial small subunit ribosomal RNA", at positions 28 to 507 of the family's 1533-position model. The record is from RNAcentral.